AAGUCAUGUAAAUUAUUGUAAACUGAAAAGUAGGGUUAUGUUUAUGUUUAUAUCUCAAAGUCAAUGAAAAAACCAUAGUUAAUCAAGUGUAUGAGUUACCUUAUGAGACGAAAGUGUUCAAGAAGCCUGACGUGGGGCAGAAUACAGCUGCGUUAAAUCCCAUGCUACACUUUUGGAUAUAAAACGUUGGCUACUCACCUAGCACCAAAGUGCUGAAGGAGAUGGACGUAGUGAAGGCUACAGUUGCGUUGAUUGACAGACACCACAGUGAUAUGCCUGCAACAAUGCACGUCCAGAGGAUAUAAAACGUUGGCUACUCACCUAGCACCAAAGUGCUGAAGGAGAUGGACGUAGUGAAGGCUACAGUUGCGUUGAUUGACAGACACCACAGUGAUAUGCCUGCAACAAUGCACGUCCAGAGGAUAUUCACCUUUGAGAUCAAGGAGCCUGACUUUAGGGCAGAAUACAGCUGCAUCAAAAUCCGUGCUGAUCAUUCGCAGACACCGCAGUGAUAUGCCUACAACAAAAUACGUCAAGAGCUCCCACAACCACGGAGGACAUCAUCAUCGUGCUCCAAUAACAUUAGUAAAAUCUUGGACAUCUCCCAGGAUCACAGCAAAUGUGUGAACCCCUCCCCUUCGAUCUUGGGACCACCGUGAACAUGUAAUGCCAUUAUGUCAAAUUUGUGAACAUAUUCCACGAUUGCAUUAUCAUAUCAUUAAUCACGACGCCGCAAAAUCGCUGAUGGUUGGAACAAA
This is a long non-coding RNA of Macrosteles quadrilineatus (aster leafhopper), 758 nucleotides long. RefSeq lists it as uncharacterized. The record is from RefSeq and is a predicted model, not a curated record. Lineage: Eukaryota; Metazoa; Arthropoda; Insecta; Hemiptera; Cicadellidae. The transcript has 6 exons.